Molecule: ribosomal RNA, 200 nt
Filed under: uncultured Anaerolineaceae bacterium
Lineage: Bacteria; Bacillati; Chloroflexota; Anaerolineae; Anaerolineales; Anaerolineaceae
Description: partial 16S ribosomal RNA
Rfam family: Bacterial small subunit ribosomal RNA
Source: RNAcentral
UCAAGUCAGCAUGACCUUUAUAUCCAGGGCUACACACACGCUACAAUGGUCUGUACAAUGGGUAGCCAAGCCGCGAGGCGGAGCCAAUCCUGAAAGCAGGCCUCAGUUCAGAUUGCAGUCUGCAACUCGACUGCAUGAAGCCGGAGUUGCUAGUAACCGCAGGUCAGCAAUACUGCGGUGAAUACGUUCCCGGGUCCGUU